Molecule: non-coding RNA, 756 nt
Filed under: Candidatus Schekmanbacteria bacterium RIFCSPLOWO2_12_FULL_38_15
Lineage: Bacteria; Candidatus Schekmaniibacteriota
Description: bacterial SSU rRNA
Rfam family: Bacterial small subunit ribosomal RNA
Source: RNAcentral
AAAUUGGAGAGUUUGAUCCUGGCUCAGAACGAACGCUGGCGGCGUGCCUAACACAUGCAAGUCGAACGAGAAAGCCUGAGCAAUCGGGUGAGUAAAGUGGCGGACUGGUGAGUAACACGUAGGUAAUCUACCUGCAAAAUGGGAAUAACUCCGCGAAAGUGGGGCUAAUACCGAAUAACGUUCAGAAAACAUAAGUUUUCUGAACCAAAGAUGGCUGAAUCCGUAAGGAUGCUAUUGUUUGCAGAUGAGCCUGCGUACCAUUAGCUAGUUGGUAGGGUAAUAGCCUACCAAGGCAACGAUGGUUAGCCGGCCUGAGAGGGCGAUCGGCCACAUUGGGACUGAGAUACGGCCCAGACUCCUACGGGAGGCAGCAGUGGGGAAUAUUGCGCAAUGGAGGAAACUCUGACGCAGCGACGCCGCGUGGAGGAUGAAGGUUUUCGGAUCGUAAACUCCUUUUAGAGGGGAAGAAAACUAUCUUGUUAACAAUGAGAUAGCUUGACAGUACCAUCAGAAAAAGCCCCGGCUAACUCCGUGCCAGCAGCCGCGGUAAUACGGAGGGGGCAAGCGUUGUUCGGAAUUACUGGGCGUAAAGGGCGCGUAGGUGGCGAUAUAAGUCAGACGUGAAAUCCCUCAGCUUAACUGAGGAAUUGCGUUUGAAACUGUAUUGCUUGAGUACAGGAGAGGAGAGUGGAAUUCCCAGUGUAGCGGUGAAAUGCGUAGAUAUUGGGAGGAACACCGGUGGCGAAGGCGGCUCUC